Molecule: long non-coding RNA, 819 nt
Organism: Bos taurus (domestic cattle)
Lineage: Eukaryota; Metazoa; Chordata; Mammalia; Artiodactyla; Bovidae
Source: Ensembl
AUGGUCCCUUAAGAUCACAGAUCCUAUAAGGCUCUAUGUAUUUGGUUGGUCUGGCUCCCAAAUGCCUUGGACUCUGUGAACCAAGGCAGCCAGAGUGCAUUUCAGUACAUUAAGGUGCAACCUUAACAGACAAACUGGAGAAGCCCUGAAACCUUUCCAAGAAGAUGGCGGUGGGGUCUUUUGGUCCCAUGGACUGUGGCCUGCUAGGCUCCUCGGUUCAUGGGAUUCUCCAAGCAAGAGUACUGGAGUGGGUUGCCAUCCCCUGCUCCAGGGGAUCUUCUCAACCCAGGGGUCCAACCUGGGUCUCCGGCACUGCAGGCAGAUUCCUCACCGAGCCACUAGGGAAGCCCCUAAGAAGCAAAGCCGAAGCCCAAAUAAAGAAAUAAAUAAAAAUACUUCGGCCCAAGCCCUCUGGACGAAGGGUUUGGCUUAUACGUGACCCUCUUUGUGGCUUUUGGGAGCAGCUUCUCCGCAGCUGUGCCCCAAGUUCCAGCAGCUGUCUUGGAGAAGCCACGUGACUGUUACAUCAAUUAGAGAAAAUAAGGAAGGAAUGGGAAAAGCAUCAUUUUUCUAUUCUUCCUCAGCUGAGUCAGGUGACACUGAUUUAACAGCUGACUUUACUUUUAUUUAGUUAAAAACAUCAGUUUAGGCCUUUUAUGGAAUCGUAAAAGAGCAAGGUUUCCACUGGGCUCUGAUCAGAUCGUUCUCCCUACCGAUGAUCUGGUUGCCUUUCUGAGUCGCUGCUCCUGGGACGCCUGCGAGAAUUCUCUAUACUUGAAACCUACGCUCGGCGGAGGCGCCGCCUCCCGGGAGAGGGAG